GGCGCAGCAGGCGCGAAAACUUUACAAUGCGGGAAACCGCGAUAAGGGGACACCGAGUGCCAGCAUUUAUGUUGGCUGUCCACAUGUGUAAACGGCAUGUGUUAGCAAGGGCCGGGCAAGACCGGUGCCAGCCGCCGCGGUAACACCGGCGGCCCGAGUGGUAAUCACUUUUAUUGGGUCUAAAGGGUCCGUAGCCGGUUUGAUCAGUUCUUCGGGAAAUCUGACAGCUCAACUGUUAGGCUUCCGGGGAAUACUGUCAGACUUGGGACCGGGAGAGGUAAGAGGUACUACAGGGGUAGGAGUGAAAUCUUGUAAUCCCUGUGGGACCACCAGUGGCGAAGGCGUCUUACCAGAACGGGUCCGACGGUGAGGGACGAAAGCUGGGGGCACGAACCGGAUUAGAUACCCGGGUAGUCCCAGCCGUAAACGAUGUUCGCUAGGUGUCAGGGGCGGUGCGACCGCUUCUGGUGCCGUAGGGAAGCCGUGAAGCGAACCACCUGGGAAGUACGCCGCAAGGC
Molecule: ribosomal RNA, 518 nt
Filed under: uncultured archaeon
Lineage: Archaea
Description: bacterial SSU rRNA
Rfam family: Archaeal small subunit ribosomal RNA
Source: RNAcentral